UCCAAAGAAGUAGAGAUGAUACGAUGAACAUGAUCCAAUAUUACCUCACUUUCACCUCCCUGCACCAGCUUCACAUCUAUUUGUGACCAGGAAGGCUGGCAAAAUGUUAUCCUGCGGCACCCCAGUUCCCAGGCAAGAAAACCUUGAAGGCGGCAGAGAAAAGCGUAACAAGAACUAAGGGCUGAAAGCUGAAGCCAGACAAAUUCAAAUUAGAAAUUAGACAACACAUUUCUAACAGUGAGGAUGAUUAACCAUUGGAACAAACAACCAAGGGAACUGUGGAUUUUCCAUUUCCUGAUGUCUUCAAAUCAAGCCUGGAUCCCCAUGUUUAAGAUAGCCGAUACCCAGAGGAGUGCUAGGAGGAGGGCCAAGGGGAUUUUGGUCGGCCCCAGUGAGGUGAGUGCCUUGCUCUUUUCUUUCUCUCAACUCCAUGGCAAAAGCCAACUAGCAUCUAGCCAAGGUCUCUAUUACAGACACAAUUAUAAAACUACUUCUGCCCCAAUACAAUUCCUGUAGAAUUGAAAAAGAACUAGAAACCAAUACUACAGGAGUGGGUAAUAGAUAUCCAGUGAGAGAGCAGAGCAAUUUCCUCUGAUCAGACAGAAAGAGAAACUAGAUGAAUACUUUUGAAACUAAAUAUUGUGCACAGAUUUCACUGGACUCGCUCCAGGCUUUUCAAUAAGAGACUGCUGCCGAAUGACCAAUGUUCAGGCUACACCGUAGAAGGAGCAGCAGGACAAUAUGCACAUG
This is a long non-coding RNA of Mauremys mutica (yellowpond turtle), 750 nucleotides long. RefSeq lists it as uncharacterized. The record is from RefSeq and is a predicted model, not a curated record. Lineage: Eukaryota; Metazoa; Chordata; Testudines; Geoemydidae. The transcript is spliced from 3 exons.